CCAGCGCCGAGCCGCCCUCCUCCAGCAGCUCGUCCCGCGGCUCCGCCGGGGGCUGCUGGGGGGGCCGCCGCUUUCCCCUCCUUCGCCGCAGGGCCAGCAGCGCGUACUGCACCAGACAUCUGUCUGCACUGUGGAAACCACUGAGGUAAGCAGGCAUCUGCCUUGGCAGUUCCAGCGGGGGACAAAGACUGAAGAGUCUGGAGAUGCACCUCACCUCUCUGCUCCUAUGUGUCACCUGAGCAGAAAACGUUGUGGUUAGUGGGAAAAGUACUGAAGAGAACGGCUGUUAGAUGAACGUCUAAAUAUUUGACAAAGUAAAAUCUAAAGUAUUUGACCAAACAAGGAAUUUUCUCCAGACUCAGAAAUUGCCAUGAGCCAACUUUAAACACAUUCACACUUUUAUGUACAGGCAUACGUAUAGAGAGAGGUCUCCUUUGUGCUGCGUUCCUGUGGGGCUCUCCUGCUGGAUGUAGUGUUGCAGUCAUUAGUUUCUGGCUCCUCCUAGUGCCCGUACAGAGUUAGAGGCAUGUAAUAGAUUCUAAGAUUGUUACUGCAAAACUAAGGCUUGAUGUAAUUCUCCUGAGCCUCCUGGGCUGUAUUAUACUUCCCAGAAAUCUAUCUCAUUUCAAAAGUCAGCAUUUCUAUCAGUGAUUAUUCCCCCAAACUUAUUUACGGUGUGACUCUGUAAUGGUGAGUUUGCUGUUUUUCACUAUUUAAUAUUCUUUAAAAAAAAAAGCAUUUGCACGCUUCAGUUGUGUUUCUUUUGACGAUGAAACAAGUGGCUUGAAUGAAAGCUAACAAAGCUGAGUUUCUUUCUGGUGGCAUUUAGCUGCAGCUGACUGAUGUGAAAAGGAGGCAGCAGCAAACAGCAGCUGCCUUGCUAUUGCUGCGCUGGGCUGCCAUGCAAAGAAGAAGGCUUUACCUUUCCCCUUACCAGCAGAGCAGUGGUAACUUUUGGGAACUCUUUCUUCCAGAACCUCUGUGAUAGACUUUAUAACUUAAAGGAAUGAAUGCAGUUUCUCAUCAACCAAAAAGGCUUAGGAGGUGUCAAACCCUAGGGACUCCUAGCUGUUCAUUAACGAAGGAAGGAAAAUGCAGGAGCCAAGGAGCGAUAUUAAUUGCAAAUGACACCUUAGAACUGAGGCCAAUUUCUUGUUCUUAGUAGGGCUACUUCUGGAUCUUAUGAUCUGCUGUUGUCAUCCUUCUCUCUCCCACCUCUUCCUGCUCACUGCCUCUUGUUCCUACAGGCACACACUGGUGGUGCCUGCAAACCUCAGCACAGUCUCCUCCUUCCAGAAGAAGCAUCUCUGGAUGCUAGUAAUCCCACCAGGCCACACUGCCUCAUCGCUGCUUCAUAUUAAACUUCAUUGGCUUCAAGCAGCCUUCAGUUGUGUAUGGUAUGUUGCUAGUUAUGAGCCUGUGCCCUCGAGUAUCAGCUUAAACCAAUGUAUGCAGCCGAGGCUUCAUGACUUGAAGAGCUAUACCCAUCCUAGGUUCUGAAUGCCACAGCAUUAAAAUAUAGUUGAGUUGUAUUAAAAUUGCAGAGACAACAUCAAAGAAAGAAUCUGGCUUUGCUUUCCAUGUACUCCUUCAACACAUACAAACAGAAGAGUUUGGUGUACUGUUUCAUUGCAGCCAACACCUUGAAAUUUUCUGUUGCCAGAGUAUUUCAGAACUGGAAGUAGAAACAUUAUCCAUGUGGGUCUAAGAGCAGAUAUCUUCCAUGCAACAUUUAAUCAGAUUUUAGUCCACUCUGUACAAGUAACAGAGGGGGAACAGUGUGUAGAUCUUGACUGGUUCCAGAUAAACCCUGGAGGUUAGUUCCUUAUGCAGAAAGAAGAGGGAGCCAAGCACCCAGCAACUCACCCCUCUCUGAAUGGGUCAGACAGCAGCUCCCCCCAGUCUGUUUCCACAGCUCGCUUACUUUCUGACAAACAGGAUGGUGCUCCAUGGAGGAACAGGCUGUCAGCUCUUUGCCUCUCUUUUCACAGGUUUAAGGAUUAUCAAAGGCAGAAAUCCUCUUUACCCUGGAGAGUCCUUUCAACCCUUCAUUCUGACCAUUUGAUAGACCCCAUACUUCAACUCUUCUGGAGCUUUUCACAACACCCAUUGACCCUCCCAAACCACAACAAGACCACAUGCACACAGGUGAAAAUAUCAGGUAAGUGCUAGGCACAUGCUCUCACUGCAAACCUCACCCUUCCCACCCACAAAGGAAAAACAUUAAAGAUUAACUCUUUUUGAGACUGUGGCUCUUCUUAUUAAAUGUGAUUUAAAUUCAUCAGUCCGUAAAUGGAAAAUGGUAAAGGGCAGAAGAUGUGGAAUAUAGAAAAUUCAGAAUACAGCGCAAAGAGUUUCCAAAGUCAGGUCUCAGCCACAUUGAAGAGAGGAACUCUGUGCCCCCAAAAUAUAAUUUUCUGGAUCCAAAUACUGCACUCUCAUCCACAGUUUUUUGGAGAAGGAAAUACAUGCAGGGAAACUGCUUUUGCUGAUAGCACUGUGAAAUACCAUAAAUAUUCCUGCCGGCGUAAGUUCAAACUCUGAACUCAGUUUUAGAUGAAAGAGACACUCAGUUGAUGUCACCUUGCUUCCUCAAAUCCUAUUUGAAUCACUGAUUGAGAAGGAAGCAGAACAUGAGCACCACUCAAGCACUUAGCAGACUUUCUAGAGCAGUUGGUUUCCUUGGAUUUUCAAGUCAAACAGCGCAGGGGCACUUCGUGAAACAAAGAGCCCUUAUUUCAGUAAUGUAAAAACUACCAUUCACUUUCAGCAAAUAGAUCAAAAAAAGCUCUUUUGCAAACAAAAUUCUCAUCCCACAGACACAACGGUAUGCACAAAAACGUCACAACUUGCCAAGAGAUUCCAGUAGAAAACACAGUAAUUCCAAAGAAAGAAAGUGUAAGUUUAUUGGACGCCAACAUUUCUUAGUCAAGAUCUAAGUAAAGAAAACAUACAGUAGAAAAAGUUGUACAAAGCAGCAAUGGAUUUACAUUGCGUUAAAGAAAAAGUUACCCUAAGCUAUUAAGUCUCUGUCCUAAAAAAGUAAAAACCCAUUCUUAAUUACAAUCCAAUACUGGUGUAUCGAAUUGAUAUACAACGACUGUAAGGUAUACAGGAUUAAAAAAACAGCUUCUUUUGCCUUACCUCUAUAACGCUUUAAAAUGACAAGUGAUUUUGUGUAACAAAUUGGAAAAUUCCAUAGCAAAUAUACUGGAUAAUUCCAAUUUCUAGAAACUGCAUUAAACUACUUCCCCGCACCCAAAUACUACAAGUGAUUCCAUUUUCCUGCUUUUUAAAAAGGGACACUGUCAAGAAUAAGCUUUAAAAUGCAUGUUUUAUAUGUAUUCUGCAAAAAAAAUUGGGUUUUUUUUCCCCUGCUUUUACAUGCACGCUUUAAUUAAACACACCACAGUAGUGAGAAGCGUGUAUCUUGAAAAGGUACCACAUAUCACUGACAGGAACAACAAAGGGAAAAUUCAUCAAGUCCUUUAUUCUGGGAUAGAGAAGAUGCAACACAACAGUGAGCUCCACCCACAGAAUUCAGAUCUAUUUUUUCCAGCACUUUUGCAACAAUUUAGGAAAAUGCCUUCCAUAGGUAUUUUCAUGCCCAACUAGCUCAAGUGUUAGGAGUCAAUUCAUGUUUUCUUUGAAUUUAUUCAUCUCAAGAAUUUUUAAUACAGCUAAGUAUAUUUAUAGCAUGCGCUCUUUCUCUUGAUAGUGUCCCUUUAUGUACAACAGUUAUAGUACAGUUUUUCCACGAGUUGUUUUAAAUAAACAAGAAUCAAUGACAUUAAAAAUACUAUCAGGCAGCGUUCAACCAAAAAAAUAAUAAUAAUAAUUAAAAAAGUUAACACUGAUUAAUCAACAGCAACAUUGAAAAAAUCCUAACCUUACUGUGAUUUUUCUCUAAAUCUUCUGGUAGGAAAAUGUAAACAAUUUCAUUGAACAGUAUAGGCACACGCCAGACCUACAGGCUCAUGCCAGAUAUCUGCACCCUCAUUGUUAGUGCCAAGAAGUUCAGCGUAAGUCUAUCCUUAUCCCAUGUGCGAAACUUCUAGUUUUAUCACUUGAAGUUUGGAACAAAAACAGAGUAUGUGUAACUUCAGACCAAACCCGCAAAUACUACUGGGGGGAGGGAGAAGGUAUUCUACUGGAUGUCACCUGAAUGGUUGAAUAAAUAGGAAAUGUAGGAAUGAGUCUCACAGCUGUGUGUUUUGGUUAAUGGAUAAGGCUAUAUCUCCAUUCUGAAAGACUUGAGAAGUCUAGCGUCACCCACUGCUUCAGAAGCUUAUCAGCUGUCAGGAUGUUUCUAUUCUCUUUAUGCAAAAUAAAAUGUAAUAAAGUACAAGAAGCAUCAUAGCGUCAUAGAAUGUCCGGAGUUGGAAGGGACUAUGAAGACCUGAUUUCAACCCCCAGCCAUGGUCAGGGACACUUCCCAUUAGACCGGGCUGCCCAAAGCCCCAUCCAGCUUGGCCCAGAACAGUGCCAGGGAUGGAGCAUCCACAGCUUCUCUGGGCAGCCUGUGCUAGUGCCUCACUGCCCUCUAAGUAAGAAAUUUUUCUUAAUAUCUAAUCUAAAUCAAUCAUCUUUUAGUUUAAGGCUUCUCCCCCUUCUCCCAUCGCUAUGCUGCCUCAUAAACAGUCCCCCUCCAACAUUCUUGUAGGUCCCCUUUAAGUAGUGGAAGGCUGCAGCGAGGUCUCCCUGGAGCCUUCUCUUCUUCAGAUGGAACAAGUCCACCACCUUCAGUUUGCCUUCACAGGAGAAGCACCCCAGCCCUCUAAUCAUCCAUGUGGCCUCCCCUGGACCUGCUCCAACAGCUCCAUGUGUCUUUUGUUCUGGGGGUCCCAGAGUUGAAUGCAGUACUGCAAGUGGGACCUCACAAGGGCAGAGUAAAGGGACACAAUCUCCUCCUUUGCCCUGCUGGUCAGCCAUCUUGUGAUGAAGCCCAAGAUGCAGUUGGCCUUCUGGGCUGUAAGUGCGCACUGCUGGCUCGUGUCAAGCUUUUCAUCAACUAGAACCCCCAAGUCCUUCUCAGAGCUGCUCUCAAUCCAGUCAUCACCCAGGUUAUACUGAAAUUGAGAACUGCCUUCACUCAAAUGCAGGACCUUGUUCUUGGCCUGUGGAACUUCAUGAGGGGGCCUACUCCUCAAGGACCCCCAGAUGGCAUCUCUUCCCUCUUAAAUUAUCAACAAAAUAAGAUGAGUAGCUUUGCAUCAUACACAAACUUGCAGAGGGUGCACUCAAUCCCACUAUCCCUGUGAAAUCUCAGUAUCCAUGAAGAUACUAAAUAGUGUUGGUCCCAAUACGGACCCUCAAAGGACACCACUUGUUACUGGCUUACACUUGGACAAUGAGCUGUUGACUGUAACUCUUUGCACAUGGCCAUCCAGGCGCUUCUUUACCCAUCAAACUGCCCAACCCUCACAUAUAUCCCUCUUCACUUUAGUGGCAAGAACACUGUGGGGGACCACAUCAAAGGUCUUACAGAAAUUCAGGUAGAUUAUUACUGGUUGCUGUCCUGCAUUUUUCUAAGACUGCAGAAUUAAACGUUAGGUGUACAUACAGUUUUUAUACAGAGGAAAACUCACUUUAACUUUUCAUUCUCGAGCAUAAAGAAUGAAGCCAUGGUCAUUUCUCACUUUCAGUGGGUGACUAUGGUCCCAAUUUAUCAAAAAACCUUUGCAUGUUUUUUAAAACAAAGUUAAGACCGAUCUCAUUGGAACUCAAUCACAUGCUCAGACCUUGCCAGCACAGUGCCUCAAAGGAAAAAUAAGUCCCAAACCAAAAUACAUUUCAUGGCUGAACCCUGCUUGUCUUAAAUGCAACAGUAUAGAUCACUGUACUUCCACUGAAGCAGUAUAGAUCUCUGAGAUUUAUCUGACAAACUAUAAAAAACAACCAACAAGGAAAGUAGUAAAAAUUCUAAUCUAUAUAUAUUAAAACAUCUGCAAAUUCCUGUCACAAAUUUAAAGGAAAAAAACCCUUUUUGUAUUUAGCAAGAGCUCUAUAUUUGCAUCGCUUCAGCACACAAUUACAAGUUUAAACAAAAUAUGAUGAGGACAGGUUCUUGUAUCAAUAAAUUUGCCUUUUAUUUUGGCUGUGGCCAAGCUAGACACUCUUCAGAAGAUAUUUAUAAACAAACAACUAACAUUUUUUUUCCAUAAUUUAACUUUUUAAACAUAUAUUAAAGUUAUAUAAGUGGAAGCAUAUUUAUUCCUUAUCCUCCAAAAUAAACACUUCUAUCAAGGGUUUUUUAAAGUACUGUAUAAAAGCUAAUAGAAAACCAGAACUACUAUAUAAACAUCUCAUAUUUAAACUUCAGAUAUCCUUAAUUCCUUACGAAGAGGAACUGAAUUUAAAAAGCAAAACUAAACACGGAACACGCUUAAAGUUAAAAUGAGAACUUAAGAAAAUCUGAAGAAAAGCUUAGAAAGAGGCUAUUCAGACCCAACUUUUUUUCCUUUGUAAAUAUAAUACAUAGCAUACUAGGGAGAAGCUCAACGUUUCUUCAAAGAUACUGUAUGAGCUUUUGAUUUUAAAGUGAGGGUUUCUUUAAUUAUCACACCGUGUAUCAGAUUCCCACUUGGAAGUUUGAUGACUGUAACACAACUGACUGGCUGCCAUUUUCCUUCAGAAAGUACCCUGAUUUUUGAAAGGCUGGAUAUGAAAUAUUAUGCUGUUGUAAAGAGGAAUAACUGGUGAAAACUUAGGCAUCAGUAACUUAGGCGUCAGUUUGCAAGAACAUCUUCAUAUUUUUCUAUGCACACAUUUCUUAAAUGCAGUUAAAGCACACCUGGCAAGUCUUUAGGCUUUUCUCAUUUUGUUAAGUCAGGUUAAAUGCAGUAAGCAUUUGACUUCUCUUGCUUGAAAGAAAUCAAUUUAGUCUGAUCAGGAUUUCUAAGAAUUUAACUGAUAGUCACAGAUUAACAUGACUAAACUGAGAUCAAGUUUGCCUGGAAGAGCACAAAAAGGAUGUUCAGCAACAAUUUUAUAUUUUCAGCAAGAAACGAACCGAGAGGCUUGAAGAUAACAUUGUUUUGGGUUUUUUUUUGGUAGCUAAAAAACAGUCAUUGGUCCACUCUGAGCCUACUUCAACUUAACUGAAAGAAAAAAAACUAAACAAUUCUGUUAGGAGAAAACUAACAGUGGCACACUUGGACUGCAACAGAGAACAAUCUUUCCCAGUGUGUGCCUAAACGAGGGUGCUCAUCCUCAGAUUCUGAAGAGCUACACAGGCGCUUUAUUUUGCUAAAUGGUGGUAUGAGCAAGCAAUACUUUUUAACUUUGAGUGUAGGAUGCUGAGGAAAAAAAAAAAAAAAAAAAAAA
This is a non-coding RNA of Coturnix japonica (Japanese quail), 7326 nucleotides long. Lineage: Eukaryota; Metazoa; Chordata; Aves; Galliformes; Phasianidae. The record is from RefSeq and is a predicted model, not a curated record.